AAUAAUAAAAAAAUUGUUAACAACACUAAAGUGAAUAAUAAGAACUUAAUGUAUAAGAAUAACAUUUCUGACAUUGUUAAUGAAGAAAUUGGAUAUACCCCUAAGUUAAAUUUAACUAAUAAUGUCAUAGUAAAUGAUAUGAACAGAGUAGAUACAACUAUUAUUGGUAAUACUUUAAGUAAUAAUAAGGCCACAUAUUACAGUACCAGUUACAAAUAUAUUCCGAACAGUACAGUAGUGAAUAAUAGCUACUUAUCAACUAAAUUUACUGAUAAUACAAAGAACUGUAACGAUAAAAAAAACUUUGAUAAAAUAAAAAAAGUAGUCAAAUCAGAUAUAAUAUACCCUGUAGCGAAAAAUAAGACGAACUUAACCGAAUAUACUUAUAACAAAAAUGAAAUCACGACUACAUCACCCUUUGCAAAAAUCGUUUCUCUCUUCAAACCGACAACUAUGAAAGAAAAAAAUAAGAAUAAUGUAAUAGUAUCACAUAUAAGUAAUACUAAUAGUGCAUAUGAAAGAAGUCUAAACAAAAAAUUUAAUGUCAAUGAUUAUAUAAAUGAAGAAAAAAAACUAGAGCAGGAAGAAAGUACAAUAUAUGAUAAUACUAACUAUAAUAAUAAUCUUAACGAUAAAGCUAACAAUAACGAAGAGAGUAUAAGUAGUGAAAACAACGAAAAUAGCAUUAAUAAAGAAAACAACGAAAAUAGCAUUAAUAAAGAAAACAACGAAAAUAUCACAAAUAAAGAAAACAACGAAAAUAGCAUAAAUAGAGAAAACAACGAAAAUAAUUAUAAUAAAAUAAAAAUGUUUCGUACACAUAAUAGAUCAAGAUCUGCAGAUAUUUAUCAUCAUUAUAAUAAUAAGUAUUUUAAAAAUUUGGAAGUUUCUAUGAUUAAACCACAUAUGGAGAAAUUUAAGCAUACUGUGAAUAUUGAAGGGUUCAGAAGGAUACUUGGUAAUAUAUUUAUUAAUUAUAAUAAUGGAUUAAAUGAUUUAAACGAUAAUACUUACGCAGCACUCACUAAAAUUGACAAUGUGCAUUUAACUAAUGAUGAAACCAAUUUAAAUGUACAUAUGAAUAAACAAAAUGAGAUAAAGAAAUGUACACCUGAUGAUAUAGCUGUUACACCAAUUAUACAAAGUGGUUCAGUUUUAUCGGAUACACUUACCAUGUAUUGUACAUCAACAUUUUCUACUUCUUCCACUUUAUCUGCUUCUCCCACAUUUUCAUGUUCACAAAGUCCUUCUUUUGUACCAACAAGUUCUACAAUAAACAAUAAUGAAAACUUAAAAAGUUGUAAUGAAAAAGAAGAAAAUCAUGAAUUUGUUUUAAAUAAAAAAGAAGACUUAGCAAAUCAAAAUUUAAGCUAUGAACAGAAAUGUAAUAAAACGCAGAAGACUACUACUGAUUUAAAUGAUGUCCAUGUU
RNAcentral lists this long non-coding RNA (1431 nucleotides) under Piliocolobus tephrosceles (Ugandan red Colobus). Its description in RNAcentral is "lncRNA (ENSPTEG00000004571.1)". The record is from RNAcentral. Lineage: Eukaryota; Metazoa; Chordata; Mammalia; Primates; Cercopithecidae.